GGAAGGAUGGAAGAAAGAGAAGGAGUGAUGUGUUAGCUCAGAGAGAGGAAGCCCACCCUUCUGUAGAUGGAAGUCAGAAAAAUACUGUCCUGGAGACAUAGAAGUAUAAUAAUAUUAUUUAGAAAUAGGAAGGUAAAUGCUAGCAACAAGAGCUCAAAAAGUUGAAAAGGUGUUUCUAAGGAGUAAGACUCAGAAAUGCAGAAAGGGAGGCCAAGGAACUACCAGGUUUUUUGCAAGUCUUGUCAUAAAUUUGAAUUGUAAUCAUGUACAUGUACUAGUUUAGCAAUAAAAAUUUAAUGCAGGUAUGUAAACUUAAUGACAUAUGCAUAGCUGUAUAUUCUAAAUUUUUUAAAGAUUUUAUUUAUUUAUUUGACAGAGAGAGAGAGAGCACAAGCAGGGGGAGCAGCAGGCAGAGGGAGAGAAGCAGGCUCCCCUCUGAGUAAGGAAUCUGACGUGGGGCUCAAUCCCAGGACUCUGGGAUCAUGACCUGAGCCAAAGGCAGGCACUUCACCGACUGAGCCAUCCAGGUGCCCCACACAGCUGUACAUUCUAGAGGGAACAAGAGUUCACCAUGACCAGAUCCACAAUGGGGAGUAAAAGCAGAUGCAGUCCCUGCCCUCUUGGAAUGUCUCUUUAAACAUGGCAUGCUGUCUCUUAGCUCAGGACCCUGAACCCAGCUUUCCCUGACCACUCGUCUGUGUGGAAAAUGCAGACGCAGUCAUCAAGGUUUCUUUCACACCUUCCCGGACUCCCCCUCGGGAAACAGGCCUGUCCUGAGCCCUUCUGCCCCCUGUGCAAAACACCACUGCAGUGACUGUCUCACUGUACCAGAUGCAUGUGUUGACAGGCCCAUCUCCCAGCUUCUCAUGCAACAGCCAAUCCUAGAGCAGGUCUUAACUUUCAGAGACACCAAGCAUACGGGAGUCAGGGUGGCGAGGGAUCUGGAGCUCCUCGUAAAGGAGGGCAAAAAUCCGGGACCUGAAAAGGCAAUGUGAUUAAGUGUGUGAGUAGA
RNAcentral lists this long non-coding RNA (1012 nucleotides) under Neogale vison (American mink). RNAcentral's name for it is "Neovison vison (American mink) lncRNA (ENSNVIG00000021101.1)". The record is from RNAcentral. Lineage: Eukaryota; Metazoa; Chordata; Mammalia; Carnivora; Mustelidae.